RNAcentral lists this ribosomal RNA (440 nucleotides) under uncultured bacterium. RNAcentral describes it as "partial 16S ribosomal RNA". It matches the Rfam family "Bacterial small subunit ribosomal RNA", at positions 338 to 795 of the family's 1533-position model. The record is from RNAcentral.
CCUACGGGAGGCAGCAGUGGGGAAUAUUGCACAAUGGGGGAAACCCUGAUGCAGCGACGCCGCGUGAGUGAAGAAGUAUUUCGGUACGUAAAGCUCUAUCAGCAGGGAAGAAAAUGACGGUACCUGACUAAGAAGCCCCGGCUAACUACGUGCCAGCAGCCGCGGUAAUACGUAGGGGGCAAGCGUUAUCCGGAUUUACUGGGUGUAAAGGGAGCGUAGACGGCAGCGCAAGUCUGGAGUGAAAUCCCAUGGCUUAACCAUGGAACUGCUUUGGAAACUGUGCAGCUAGAGUGCAGGAGAGGUAAGCGGGAUUCCUAGUGUAGCGGUGAAAUGCGUAGAUAUUAGGAGGAACACCAGUGGCGAAGGCGGCUUACUGGACUGUAACUGACGUUGAGGCUCGAAAGCGUGGGGAGCAAACAGGAUUAGAUACCCUAGUAGUC